RNAcentral lists this ribosomal RNA (363 nucleotides) under uncultured Methanosaeta sp. Its description in RNAcentral is "bacterial SSU rRNA". It matches the Rfam family "Archaeal small subunit ribosomal RNA", at positions 976 to 1338 of the family's 1478-position model. The record is from RNAcentral. Lineage: Archaea; Methanobacteriati; Methanobacteriota; Methanomicrobia; Methanotrichales; Methanotrichaceae.
UUAGCUGAGAGGUGGUGCAUGGCCGUCGUCAGUUCGUACUGUGAAGCAUCCUGUUAAGUCAGGCAACGAGCGAGACCCACGUCCACAGUUGCCAGCAUACCCUCCGGGGUGAUGGGUACACUGUGGAGACCGCCGCUGCUAAAGCGGAGGAAGGAAUGGGCAACGGUAGGUCAGUAUGCCCCGAAUCUCCCGGGCUACACGCGGGCUACAAUGGUUGGUACAAUGGGCAUCUACCCCGAAAGGGGAAGGAAAUCUCUUAAAGCCAAUCGUAGUUCGGAUUGAGGGCUGCAACUCGCCCUCAUGAAGCUGGAAUCCGUAGUAAUCGCGUUUCAACAGAACGCGGUGAAUACGUCCCUGCUCCUU